This 272-nucleotide unclassified non-coding RNA is filed under the name uncultured fungus. RNAcentral's name for it is "sequence contains ITS1". The record is from RNAcentral. Lineage: Eukaryota; Fungi.
GUAUAAACUUUUAUUAUGAUUCAACCAUUCUAAAUUUUGUUACAGAGAUUGUGAAACAUAGACCUUAAAAAUGCAAGGAAAAGCCGACCUCUUUGAAAGUGAAGCGCAGCAGUCCCAACUCGGAACGAAUUCCAAAAACUCUCAGGUCUACAAUAUGUGCACAGUUGGAGAAAUGAUAAAGAUGACAAGCGUGCACAUGCCUCCAGAAAGACCAGCAACAGCCUGUUCAAGUUUAUUCGAUAAUGAUCCUUCCGCAGGUUCACCUACGGAAA